This 643-nucleotide ribosomal RNA is filed under the name uncultured Actinomycetes bacterium. RNAcentral describes it as "bacterial SSU rRNA". It matches the Rfam family "Bacterial small subunit ribosomal RNA", at positions 232 to 885 of the family's 1533-position model. Lineage: Bacteria; Bacillati; Actinomycetota; Actinomycetes. The record is from RNAcentral.
CGCGGCCUAUCAGCUUGUUGGUGAGGUAAUGGCUCACCAAGGCGUCGACGGGUAGCCGGCCUGAGAGGGUGACCGGCCACACUGGGACUGAGACACGGCCCAGACUCCUACGGGAGGCAGCAGUGGGGAAUAUUGCACAAUGGGCGCAAGCCUGAUGCAGCAACGCCGCGUGAGGGAUGACGGCCUUCGGGCUGUAAACCUCUUUUAGCAGGGAAGAAGCGAAAGUGACGGUACCUGCAGAAAAAGCGCCGGCUAACUACGUGCCAGCAGCCGCGGUAAUACGUAGGGCGCAAGCGUUAUCCGGAAUUAUUGGGCGUAAAGAGCUCGUAGGCGGUUUGUCGCGUCUGCUGUGAAAUCCGGAGGCUCAACCUCCGGCCUGCAGUGGGUACGGGCAGACUAGAGUGCGGUAGGGGAGAUUGGAAUUCCUGGUGUAGCGGUGGAAUGCGCAGAUAUCAGGAGGAACACCGAUGGCGAAGGCAGAUCUCUGGGCCGUAACUGACGCUGAGGAGCGAAAGGGUGGGGAGCAAACAGGCUUAGAUACCCUGGUAGUCCACCCCGUAAACGUUGGGAACUAGUUGUGGGGUCCAUUCCACGGAUUCCGUGACGCAGCUAACGCAUUAAGUUCCCCGCCUGGGGAGUACGG